This 536-nucleotide ribosomal RNA is filed under the name Furcaspis douglorum. RNAcentral describes it as "eukaryotic LSU rRNA". Lineage: Eukaryota; Metazoa; Arthropoda; Insecta; Hemiptera; Diaspididae. The record is from RNAcentral.
AUCUGGGCGACGGAAUUCAGGAUGGCUGUGCGUGUUUCGCGCGCGUACGGCCGUUUGAUAUUUCCGUCGUUGUCGAGCAGACGCAGACGUCGCGACCUGUUCGUCGUCGGUCCCUGUUCUGAAGGAGCCGCGGUCGAGUUCGUUGUGGACGCGUUCACGCGUGUCACACGGCGAAGCCGCGUGCCUCUGGCCGAUCGACGGACAGUAUGUUGCAAAGACGGUGUCCGUUGCCGUCUAGCGCGGUCAACGGUACCGGUCGGCGACGAAUUUUUCGGGCCUCUUUCCGACCCGUCUUGAAACACGGACCAAGGAGUCUAACGUGCGCGCGAGUCGCGGGGUUACAUAACGAAACCCGUGCGCGCUUUGCGCGCUAAAAGGCGUAAUGAAAGUGAAUGGGGAAGAUGGCGUUCCGAGUACACGUUCCGCGAUCGUUGGUAUCGCGGCCGGACGUCCGCAUUCCCAGGGCGUCUCAACGGCCCGUCGUGGAUGUCGGGCUGUCGUCUCUCGGGACGGCUAGUCGGUCCGCGUCGAACCGA